GGUACCGCAAGCCGAUGAAGGCGAGGAGUACUCACCGGAUCAGGAAGAGCUAAACAACAGUACGGGUCAGUAGAAAUACAGUAGCAAUAAUAGUGAAUGAAAGAGACAUAUAUACGAAAGAAGUACAACUACCGCUACUGUAAUGGACAACUGAAUGUAUACAUGUAACAAGACUAUGUAAUGAAAGAACUGAAGGUAUACAAGCAACAACCGCUACUAUAGUUAUAUGCAUCAACCGGACAAGAAGUCCAAAUAUACCCAAUCUAGUACCUGCUAUAUUGGUCCGCAGACCUCAAGCGCUGCCUGUCACUAACCUGCACCGACCUGAUUCACCCGCCCCACAGGACGACCCAUCCGGAUAAGUACACCUCCGAUCGGUGGCCAAACCGAUCCGGUGUCGUGAAUACCCCCAAGUGCUGUGACUAAGUCAUGAUGGUAUGCUCAAUACAAAAACCGGCUGAAACCGGUGCCUAGGCCGAAGCCAGAAACAAGGACGUACAACGCCGAACCUCGAUCAACCAGAUCGAAACACAUGACGAGAGAGUCAAUGUGUUACCUGGACCCAAGGUCCACAGAGUCCAACCGACCAGCAAGGUCACUGAUACGAAGUACGAGAACUGACCAACCAGGUCAACAGAUACGGAAUGCACAACCAACCAACUAGGUCAACAGAUACUGAAUGCAACAACAGACCAACUAGGUCAACAGAUACUGAAUGCAACAACAGACCAACUAGGUCAACAGAUACAGAAUGCAACAACAGACCAACUAGGUCAACAGAUACAGAAUGCAACAACAGACCAACUAGGUCAACAGAUACAGAAUGCAACAACAGACCAACUAGGUCAACAGAUACAGAAUGCAACAACAGACCAACUAGGUCAACAGAUACAGAAUGCAACAACAGACCAACUAGGUCAACAGAUACAGAAUGCAACAACAGACCAACUAGGUCAACAGAUACAGAAUGCAACAACAGACCAACUAGGUCAACAGAUACAGAAUGCAACAACAGACCAACUAGGUCAACAGAUACAGAAUGCAACAACAGACCAACUAGGUCAACAGAUACAGAAUGCAACAACAGACCAACUAGGUCAACAGAUACAGAAUGCAACAACAGACCAACUAGGUCAACAGAUACAGAAUGCAACAACAGACCAACUAGGUCAACAGAUACAGAAUGCAACAACAGACCAACUAGGUCAACAGAUACGCAUGUAGAUAGAACUACUCUACUCCUACUCAGGAUACUAAGCAUGCAAACAACGAGUAGAGUAUAACGAAUAAACAAGGGUGCAAGGCUCAAUAUACUAUGCGAUAGUAACAACAGAAGAGUAAGGGUAAGAAACCGUCACCAAGCGUGCACCACUGUACCGACGUCGGAUCGAAGUACCCACCUGUACGGAUGUCGCGUCUGUCUCCUGACUGCAAAAGAAUGUCGACAGGACCUAUAGAGGGUCCACCGGGUUAGUAUCUAACCCACAACUAAUAAUCACAGUAUCCACCACCUCACAAACGAUUCCACAAAGAUCGGUUUCCCAAUACCGAUUACCGUAACUCGCCGGAAGUCCCGAAAACCACACCGGGACGCCGUCGGGACCCACCAAGUGUCCCGAACUCACCGACUCAUACCACGAGUCACCCGCUGCCCCAAAACAUUCCAAUUUGGAUGCCUUGGCAGCGAACGCAAGGUCACACAGCAAUACGAUCAUCGCCGGAUAAUCGUACGAAUCCGGGUUCCCGGAAGUGUCUAUUUCGACACCGGAACCCUCCGUCGCUCACCUAUCCUCAUCGAACCCACAAAAUGACGAUGGUGACCAGCCAACAAGGCUCAGCGACAAAACACGAAGCAACCAAACACCGUCGGAAAGGAUCCGAACCGAAACCGCGUUCUUUCGGCGAAUUUCGCCGAAAAACGCACCAAAAUCGACUCUUCGAUUUCCGCGAAAACUACAGGAUCAUGGACAAUCAGUCCAGAGGUCAAACACACUCACACACGUUGCCCACAGUAGCCACACAAUGCACAAUUGCAUAAAAGCUCCUCAACUUACAUAAAAUACCAUUAUUUUAUGUAAAUUGAGCGAUCAAGCGGCUCGAUCACGCAAACCGAGAACUCCCAAGGUCCACAGAGACACCCACUGACAGGUCUCGAUGUACCGGAGGCCGUGCUCAUGAUUCGGAGCACAGCGGCUCGCUGUGGGAGGCGCGGGAGCAACCCGAAGGUUCAGCGAUUAGCGCGCAGUCAGGGAAGAUCGCGCCGAACAGAACUAACCGGACACUGUUGAUCCAAAGUGAGGUGAGCACUGUGAUCAGCACUGACCAACGAUCACCGUGCUCACCUCCGGAGGCAUCAGGACAGCCUCGGAUCGCCGGAUAAGCGUGCGCAAUCCCAAAACAGCAGCCAAACAGGCUGAAACGGAGCGACAACGCCAAAACAGUGGAACGGAGUCUCCCCGACAGAAACUAAGGUGAGCACGAUGAUCAGCAACUUGCCAGGAUCAUCGUGCUCCCUUCCGUACAGAUCGGGGAGGCUCGGGAAGCCCAGAACGAGAAACCCACUCAAUAAGCUCCAUUUCGGGCUUGGCCGGAGCAACCUUGCUCCGGCCGGCCUCCGGCGGCACGACGGCGUGCGCGGGGCCCUGAGUCGGGUGAGGGGGAGGUGAGGAACACCGUGCUCACCUCAGGUGGCGGCUGGAAGCGGCGGCGGCGGCGGCGGCGGCGGAGCAAACCGAGCCCGCACGAGAUCGAGCUCGGGUUCCAGGAGUUGCUGCGGCCACGGCGGCGGCCGGGGAGCUCCGGGACGGCGGAGGCGGGCUACAGGAGGUCGGGGGAGUUACCCCGGGGUGGCCCAAGGUGGCGGCGGCGCUGGGAAGGGGUCGCACAUGAGAUCGGCCUGGGCUCGGGCUGGGGUGGCCGCGGCUGGCCGAGGCGACGACGGCGGCGCGCCGGGGCGGCGGCGACCGGCGGGAAGGGGUGCCGGGGCACGGGGGACGUCGACGAGAGGGUUCCCAGGCGGCGGCGGCGCACUGGCGGCUGUGGCAACCCGGCUCGGCCUGAGCUCGGCCUGGGCUGGCAGAUGCGGCCCGGGGUGGCAGCGGCGGCGCAGGCGACGGCGGCAGUCGGCGGGGAAGGUCGCCGGAGCACGGGGUGACCCCGGGGGAGGGUCUGAAGGUGGCGCAGCCCCAAGCCUCCACACAACCCGAGAGGAGAGAGGGAGAGAGAAAGAGAGGGAGAGGGAGGAAAGUGGUGGCUGCGGCGGCGGGUGGCCGGCCGGGACUCGGUCGGCGGCGGCCUGGGCACGCGCAGCAGAUGCAGGGGAAGGAGAUGAAGGUGGCAGGGGGGCUAGGGUUAGGGUUUCUAGUAGCAAACCCUAAGAGACAACUAUAUAUACAAGGUACAACUUGCAAGAAAGCCCCUCAAACGUCAAAAUUUCUAUCCGAGUCUCUCACAGUACGACAAAAACGCAUGAACGACCCUCCACGUGCGAUCUCACGCAAAACGGUACAUAAAAUAUGGCGACUUUCGCGAAAAUACCAUUUUGCCACUACCGUCCUCUCCUCGAUCAACGCGCGAUCUCCGCAGAUCCGUCCGUCAGAUUUGCGAACGGAUUGCACCGAUGCGAUCAGCACCUCGGAGACAACAAAGCUGCGAUUUCGUUUCGUCUUGAUCGACCACGGAUUCACGACAAAAUCCAACCUUCUUCGAAUAGAAGGAAACACACACAAAAAUACAUAUAAAACAUGUAUUUUUGGAUUUUCUCGAAAUCCGUGCGUCAAAACCAAAAUCCGUCAGCACCAUUAGCUCCAGAACAGCUGACCCGGUCGAAACGAGCUAUUGGACUGCUAUGAACAGAGUCCGGUACGAGCCAGAAGCCAACUUCUCACCGUGGCUUCUCCGGAAAAUCGAGUUACUAUUCACUUUAAGUGAAAACUAAUAAUCGCGUAGAAUUUCCGUUUUAACUCGUUUUCGCCCGAAACUUGACGAGUGCUUUUGUAAUUAAAUUACACACAAAAACAUCGUCAACUGAGAGUUUAGCUACACUGUAAAAAUCUCAGUCCUUACAAAUCCGGAGCGUGACAGUUUGGCUCAUGGAUGUAUGAAAUUGGGUCUUUACAAUUUAUGUAGUUAAAAUUAACUAUUAUUACUUUUAAAAUUUAUUUAUAUGGAUGUUAUAUAUUUCUUACUAUUUUUCCUUCAGUUUCUUUACAUACUAUACUAAUUUUAUAAUGGCAUGGCAAUUUUUAUCUCUAUAGGUAAAUACAAUAAUAGUUACUGUUUAAGAAAAAUCUGAUCUGAGUUAGAAAACAAAAUAGAACGAAUAAAUCUUUUUAUAUGAUUAGUUAAAUAUGAACUUGAAUCUCUUCAGUCUAUUUUUUAUUUUUUGUUAUAUACCUUCUUCACAAUAUUUUAAAUAUCUCUUCAGGAUAUCUAUAUAAUUAUUUUCUUACUCUUAUACUUCGUACUUUUUUUUCGUUUCUUAUAUUGUUUUCAAUUAAUUAGAUUGUAAUUCUAUUCUAAAAAUUUUUCUGUAUUUUUCAUAUUAUUAAAUCAAUUUUCAUAUUUUUAUUUAUUUAUUAUAGUUAAAUUCGUAAAUUUUUAUUAAAAUAUUCUUACCCGCCGCAUCGCGCGAGUCUUUAUACUAUAUAUUUUUUUUUCUACCCAUUUUUUUAGGGUACGGAUACAGUAUACCAACUAUCCAGAUUCGACCCGAUCUACGGAUACCUUUAAGAUAUACUUGUCAAUGAGUAAAUAUCACUUCACAACACAUCACAAUAAUAUUUUUUACAUGAAAUUCUAGAUGUAUCUAUUCUCGUUAGAAAUUAUUUCCUGCACUGACACCAUACUUUAUAUUUAUUAAUUAGUAGUUUACAGAUUAAAAUUUAAUUUAGUAAGAAAUUAUUUCCUGCACUGACACCAUACUUUAUAUUUAUUAAUUAGUACUUUACAGAUUAAAAUUUAAUUUAGUAAAUAUUAUCUACAACAUUCAGAUAAUCCUAUUAUCUAGGAAUUAAGUAGACAAGUAAUUUCAAUAAAAGGGUAGGACAAAAAUUUAUUUAAUCUACUAGAAAUUGCUUUUAUAUAUAUAUANUCGAUAUUGAAAAGAUGGUUAAGAACGAAUAAAAAUGAAUUAGUAAUUUUACUUCAUAUGAAUGACUUGAUAAAUCAUUUUGGAGACCGGCUAUAUAAUAUGAAAUAUCAUGAUCAAAAGUUGACCUCAAAAUGCAACUAGAAGCACAAUCCACUUGAUACUCAUAACUCUCUAACCCUCUCGAUCACACAAAUUUGAUAAAGAAAAUCCCUUGAAUAAAACACCAUUCCACACCUACCAUCAAUCAUCACAUAAAUCACAUCAAUCCAUCAAAGUUGUGCGAAUAAAAAAUAAGGCGACCACACAUUUGGAGAAUCUAAAAGCUAUUCUAGCUCCACAUAUAUAUAUAUAUAUAUAGAAAGAGAGAGAGAGAGCUAGGCUGCUAUACUAUCGGUAGCACGGAAGUCUCCGUGCUAUCAAAUUGUUUUCAAUGAUGUGGCUUUCAAAUUGACGAUCGGCUCCGUCAGACUUGAUCUACACUAUUAAAAGUAUUUGAAAACUAAAUUUCAUAAUUUUUCGACAUUAUUUGGCUAGUGAUUAAAAGGUCUCAAAAUUGACAAUUUUAAUGGUAGAUGUGAUGCGUUUGUGAAUUAAAGGUGUAAAUCAAUCCAAAUCUGAUGAAAUUUUUAUAGAAAAUUCUUUUCACUACUUAGAAUAAGAUAAGUAGUUUUGAUCCUAAAUUUAAGUCUUUUAUCAUUAUUUUUUAUGAGAUUUUUUUUUUCAGCCGUUCAUUUUUAGACUACUCGUUUGAUAGGUAAAUGAUGCCAAAAUAUUAUGAAAUUUAUUUUCCAAGUACUUUCAAUAGUAUAGAUAAAAUUUAAUGGAGCCAAUCGUCGAUUUGGAAGUCGCAUCAUUGAAAACAACUUGGUACCACUGAGGCCUCCGUGCUACCAAUAGUAUACCAGUCUAGCUCUCUCUCUCUCGCUCUCUAUAUAUAUAGAGAGAAAGUUGAGCUGGAAUGCUAUCAGUAGCAAACGGGCUCCGUUGCCAUCCAUUUGUUUUCAAUGAUGGAGUGUGACGCCCCAAUAGUCCCACGUCGGAUGGGAAAGGGGUUGUCAUUGGGUUUAUACGAGACUUAGACACUAGUAAUAAUAAUUGGGCUUAAGCAAUUGGGCCAGUGGUCGGGCCCAACGAGUUAUUGUUGCUAGUGGGCUGGGUCGUUACAUUUGGUAUCAGAGUCGGUUCACCAGCUGGACAUGCGUGACGAGUCUCGGCUGAGCCAGGGUCUGGAUGACGUGCUAGCGAGACGAGUCUCACAUCGCUUAGUGAUCUUAGGCUAUGUGUGUGAUUGGACUGACGAGGAUGUCAGGGCCUUAACGGGGGGAGUCUGUGACGCCCCAAUAGUCCCACAUCGAAUGGGAAAGGGAUUGUCAUUGGGUUUAUAAGAGACUUAGACACUAGUAAUAAUAACUGAGCUUAAGCAUUUUGGGCCGGUGGUUGGGCCCAACGAGUUAUUGUUGAUAGUGGGCUGGGUCGUUACAUGGAGCCUUCAAAUCGACGAUCGACACCAUUGAACAUGAUCUAUAUCACUUGAAGUAUCUAGAAAUCAAAUUUUAAAUCUUUUCGACAUCAUUGACCUAAUUAUCAAAGGGUUUCAAAAUUUGUAAUAUUAAUGGUCGAUAUGAGGCAUUUUCUCGCUUAACGAUAUAAAGCUAUCCAAAUCAAUUGAAUUUUGAUUAGAAAAUUUUUUAAACUGUUUAGAACAAGAUUUAUACUAUGAUCUUGAUUACAAAAUUUCUAUCGUUACUUUUUAGAGGUUAUUUAUUUUCAGCCGUUCCUUUUUACGCCCACUUGAUGAACAAGAGAGCAAUAUGGAAAAAGCAUGAGAUUUGAUUUCUAGAUACUUCAAGUGGUAUAGAUUAUUUUCAACAGUACUGUCACGCCCCGGGGUCCCUUUUAGUUUGAAACACAGCGGAAAAACGUCUAAAAUUUUUUUUUUUUUAAAAACCUGACCCCAGGGUAUGCCAGAUCCGCCACAAAUACAGAAAAUCUACUGUUCAUACGGACAGAGUCUCCCCUGUAUUUGCACGGCGUCGCACAAGUACAAGAUGUCUAAACAGAGUAUAACUAGGAUACAACCACAAUAAAUGAAUAAACAAAUCUCAACAUUCAUUCACCAUUCACCAGAUUUUUAUCAUUCAGUGUUUAAAUAUAAAAACCACGAGAAAACUCUUUUGAAAGCUGUUUCCCACACGGAAACACUUUUCUUUUAAAAUACGCUACCACGAGGGGUAGAAAACUAUUUUUCAUUUCACAAAAUCCACAAAUCCAUUUAUUACAUUCAUAAAAACCCACAUUUUCAAAUGUAAUAAAACUACUGAACCAUAUAACCUAUCUAAGCUAUAUCAACAGAAUAGUAAGGAUAGAAACUAAACCGAAUAACCUGGGUCGGAAGCUCUAUCGACCGCUACGAACAUGUCUCACGUCUCGUCUCAACUCUCACCGCCUGCGAUACCUGAAAAAUGGUGGGGGAUGUGAGAACAUGUAAAUAUGUCUCCCCUCCCAGUGGGUACUGCAAGCCGAAGAAGGCGAGGAGUACUCACCGGAUCAGGAAGAGCUAAGCAACAGUACGAGUCAGUGGAAAUACAAUAGCAACGAUAAUGAACGAAAGAGAUAUAUAUUUAUAUGAAAGUACGACUACCGCUACUGUAAUGAAACAACUGAAUGUAAACAUGCAACGAAACUAUAGUAGUAAGACAAUGUAAAGCAAGAACUGAAAGCAUACUAACAACAACCACUACUAUAGCUAUAUGCGUCAACUGGACAAGAAGUCCAAAUAUACCCAAUCUGGUACCUGUUAUAUUGGUCCGCAGACCUCAAGCACUGCCUAUCACUAACCUGCACCGACCUGAUUCACCCGCCCCACAGGACGACCCAUCCGGAUAAGCACACCUCCGGCCGAUGGCCAAACCGACCCGGUGUCGUGAAUACCCCUAAGUGCUGUGACUAAGUCAUGCUGGUAUGCUCAAUACAAAAACCGACUGAAACCGGUGCCUAGGCCGAAGCCAGAAACAAGGGCGUACAACGCCGAAUCUCGAUCAACCAGAUCGAAACACAUGACGAGAGAGUCAAUGUGUUGCCUGGACCCAAGGUCCACAGAGUCUAACCGACCAACAAGGUCACUGAUACAAAGUACGAAAACCGACCAACCAGGUCAACAGAUAUGAAAUGCAACAACCGACUAACCAAGUCAACAGAUACGAAAUGCAACAACCGACUAACCAGGUCAAUAGAUACGGAAUGCAAUAACCGACCAACCAGGUCAAUAGAUACAAAAUAAAACACUACUCUACUCCUACUCAGGAUACUAAGUAUGUAAACAACGAGCAGAGUAUAAUGAAAUAACAUGGGUGCAAGGCUUAAUAUAUAUGAUGCAAUAGUAACAACAGAAGAGUAAGGGUAAUAAACCAUCACCGAGCGUGCACCACUGUACCGAUGUCGGAUCGAAGUACCCACCUGUAAGGAUGUCGCGUCUGUCUCCUGACUGCAAAAGAAUGUCAACCAGACCUAAGGAAGGUCCACCGGGUUAGUGUCUAACCCAUAACUAAUAACCACAAUAUCAUAA
RNAcentral lists this long non-coding RNA (8657 nucleotides) under Ananas comosus (pineapple). RNAcentral's name for it is "long non-coding RNA (ACOM_LNC033123)". The record is from RNAcentral. Lineage: Eukaryota; Viridiplantae; Streptophyta; Magnoliopsida; Poales; Bromeliaceae.